RNAcentral lists this long non-coding RNA (243 nucleotides) under Vicia faba (fava bean). Lineage: Eukaryota; Viridiplantae; Streptophyta; Magnoliopsida; Fabales; Fabaceae. The record is from RNAcentral.
AUGGAUUCUACAAGGAUUUAUGCUUUCAUAAUGAUAUACCUGUUGGCUUUCUGCAUAUUUACAUCAGAUCUGUGUAAGAAAUCAGAAGGAAGAGAACUUGAUGGAGCAUGUAAAUCAGAUAGUGAUUGUCAACCUGGAUGUCCUGGAAAAAAAGGGCAAUGUAAUCACGGGCGAUGUUGGUGUAUUGAUGCAUCAUCUUUAGAUGAUAUUACUACUACUGUUAUACCUCCAAUUGGAUUAUGA